This 312-nucleotide unclassified non-coding RNA is filed under the name Hevea brasiliensis (rubber tree). The record is from RNAcentral. Lineage: Eukaryota; Viridiplantae; Streptophyta; Magnoliopsida; Malpighiales; Euphorbiaceae.
AAAAAAGGUGUUAAUUUGAUAAAAAAAGGAAAAAUAAGAGGAAAUUGUGAUUGGUAUUUUUAAUUUAUUGAAAAUUCUGAAAUUAUUCUUAUAAUUAUAAUUUGAAAUUGAGUAAAUACCUCUUUAUUGAAUAUGGGAAUCCAAUCUUCUUGUCAAUUCUGUCCUGGCAAAAGGGGACUUGAUCUAUUAUGUUAGUAUGAUUUGCAGCCAUCGAAAUCCAAAAAAUGCAUCAACCCAAUUGGUGGGCAAAGGCUUAUAGUUAACCAACAAACUUUGUUUGCUCAAAACAAGUGAAAUAUAUGUAACUGCAAU